ACAAUGUCGAUCAAGUUUGUUGAAUCCAGUCGUAUAUAAAUAGACCCUCCUGUAAGGCUUUAAAUAGGUAUUUGAUCCCCAUCCAAUUUCCUUUAAGUUGCAGAGUGCUUGGGUUGUGCCACGACUACCACUGAUCACCUAUCGCUGCGAUUUAUUUAUUACACUUGUUGCCACAGGUUCAGGUCUUGCUGUGAAUUUUUUUUUCCUGCUAGGCACCGAAAGGAUGUCAUAUAUAUAAACACACAGACAUGGUUCAUUGUGCUUUUGAUUUUGACUAGCAUGUAUGUGUACACACACACAUGUUGGAAAUGUGCCCUAAAACCAAUCAUAUGAUGAUACUUUACGAACAUUUCACAUGUUAAAUUAAUCUAGUUUAAUGUCAAGGGCGAAGAUUAUUGUUUGAAGCUGUCUCAUAUAAAUGUUAUAUGCUUAAACGAUAAGUCCAAGGAAUAUGUAAUUAGGAGAAUGUAAUUUAAAGAAGUUAGAUUCAUGAGACCAUUCUCUUUCGUAUACAUAUCCUAAACGUUCCUGAUCAUAGGAUUGCCAAUUGGGCAUUGACAGUCCGUUAAGAUCAGUACAUGCUAUGUCUUCUCUUAGGGAGAGUGACUGGUCUCGAGUCAUUGGUGUGAUUGACACCAAGACAAGCAUGUAGGUGCUCAAUAGGGAAUGAGUCCACUGAACACGAUCAACGAGGAGUUCUCAUACUCAUGUCACAUGAGAACUCAUGGUUGGGCUAAUGCAAAGUAGUCCUUUGACCUGAGGCAUCAUAGUUGUCUUUUGGUUAGGUCCUUGAUCUUUGAAUAUGUCAAAGUCACUCCAUCAGAGGGUGUCCACGGCAUAGUUGG
Molecule: long non-coding RNA, 845 nt
Filed under: Malus domestica (apple)
Lineage: Eukaryota; Viridiplantae; Streptophyta; Magnoliopsida; Rosales; Rosaceae
Description: long non-coding RNA (MDOM_LNC013385)
Source: RNAcentral